CCGACUUUAGCUCAGUUGGAAGAGCAUCAGACUGUAACGGUUAACUGGAAUCUGGGUGUCGCCUGUUCGAACCAGGCAAGUCGGA
Molecule: non-coding RNA, 85 nt
Organism: Mycena latifolia
Lineage: Eukaryota; Fungi; Basidiomycota; Agaricomycetes; Agaricales; Mycenaceae
Source: the annotation of a GenBank genome assembly